This 2281-nucleotide long non-coding RNA is filed under the name Pan troglodytes (chimpanzee). Its description in RNAcentral is "long non-coding RNA NONPTRT014854". Lineage: Eukaryota; Metazoa; Chordata; Mammalia; Primates; Hominidae. The record is from RNAcentral.
CACAGUAUACCUGAUGCCCUCCCUCCUGACCUGUGAUUGGGAUUGAGCUGAAGAUAGUCACUGACGUGAUUCAAAGGAUUAGCACUUGGUACAGGUUCCCUCUGUGUGCCGGGCAGUAUGCCAGUUAAUUCAAGUGCAUGUCAGACCCAGAGGGUGACAUCCUGUGACUCAGAUGCUGGGGCCCUCAUGAUGCCUGGUAAGGAUGAACCGUUGUCCACAUUCUCUUCUCUGAGUCAAAGAGGAGGAAGAUCUGUCCAUCGAAACUGAACUGCCAAGAUCCGCUGCUGUGUCCUUCGGCUUUCUGCUCACAAGACAUCCUUGCCUGCAGGGUGAGGGGUUCUGCCCCCAUCAGAGAGAGAUCAGCUCUGGCCUUGACAGAUAUUGAGCCCCCAUCCUCUUCCACUUGCAAUUUCCUGGUCUUACUUGCUCUGCCACAUCCUGGCCUUGCCUCUAGACGUCUUGCGGGGUUGCCAUUGCCUGCUGUUGCUCUACAAAGGGACAGGACUGGACACUGAGACGGAGAACCCACGGCCUGCAAAGAUCACAGGGCAUCCUUCCUCCCUUUCUAGAAAGGGUUUGCUGACCCCUGUCUACACACUGACUAUUCUCUAUGACGCUGGCGCCCCAGUAGGAACAACAGGCAGGUCUGGGCCCCAAGGGCAGAAGUGGGUGCCUCUACUCACCAGAGUUCCCAGGGUCAUCCUGGAGGAAAUGGUGCUUCCCAUGCCCCCUGCACAGGUUCUGUGGGGAGCUUGGGGUGUGUUUGCUGGGGUGUGUCCUCAGGCAAGAGGCAGAAGGUGUCACGUGGUGUAAGAGGUCGCGAGGGCCCCUUCAUGGAUGGGGAGACCUCUGGGGUGACCAGCUGGGCUGAGGUGGGGAGUAAGAGGAUGUUACCUGGGUGGUGGCAGUGGAUGGUGAGGGGAGGGUGGGAAGUGUCUGCUGAGCCGCUGGGUGCAGGUGAGUGUCUACAGGAAAGUGCAGGGAAAAAUUAAAGGGCACGCAGCCCUGGGGGUGCUGGAGGGUUUGUGUGGUUGAGAGCGGGUGAGAACAGAGCAGGCUGGUGGCUGGUGGGAGUGUCUGUGAUUGUGUCCCUGUGCAACCCCACUUCACCCCUGUCCUGACCCCAGCUCGGGUUCUGGGGGCUCUGGUUUCUCCUUCCCGAGGGCGGGUGGGACUGCCGGGCUGCACUAGGGAUCCCCGCUCCACGUCGCCCUCUGCAGCCCUCUGGCCCCUCCACUCUCUGGGGGUUCCUUUCCAGCCUCCUCUCUGACCAGCUCCUCCCCUCGGAGGAUAAGUAGCCUCCGGGAGCGGAUCCGGCGGGAAGGAGACGCGGAGGGAAACUGAGCGGGGGCGCAGUCCGGGGUGAUCGCACGGGUCCUUCCAGAAGCCUCCCCUCCUCUGAAGCCCGCAGUCCACAGCCCCCCACGGUUGGCCUCCGCCCCGCUUAGGCUCCAUCCCCGAACUCACCGGCCAGCCCGGUCCUGCACCAGCUGGACAGCAGGAGCAGAAGCGGGAGGCGUAGAAGGAACGCGGGGCUGGCGGCCGCUGCCAUUGGGGAGUUGGAUCGCAGGGGACAGCAGAAGCGAAGCCCAGCCCGUGGAUCACCUGGCGGCUCGCAGGCUGUCUGAAUGCAGCCCUAACCUACACGCUCGCGCACUUCCCCCUGCUUCAGCCAGUCAGACUUUGCUGGCUGCCUGCCCGGGACCAGUCCUGCCAAAGGCUUCUUUCCAUGACCCCCUCAUGUAAUCAUCACCGCAAUUUUUUCAUUUUGUAUUAAUCCAAUGUGGAUACCGAUGCACAGAAAGGUGAAGAAAAUGCACAGAAGUGUUCAGCCGCGACAGGGUCUCCCUGUCCUCGCCUGUACCUGCGACACCCGCCUUCCCUCUCCCUGCGUUGCAGAGUGUCCCCCACCCACCGUCCUGUGCGCAGACCCAAGCCCAGUCCCAUCCCCGCGGCCUCAUCCCAAAUCCCGAGUGGACGUGGUUAUAGCCUGGGCUAGGUUUGUUUGUUUGGUUGGUUGGUUUUUCUUUCUUUUCUUUUUUUUCUUCGUGACAGAGUCUCGCUCUGCCGCCCAGGCUGGAGUGCAGCGGCGCGAUCUGGGUUCGCUGCAACCUCUGCCUCGCGAAUUCAAACGAUUCUCUUGCUUCAGCCUCCCAAGUAGCUGGGACCACAGGUGCGCACCACCAAGCCCGGUUAAGUUUUGUAUUUUAGUGGAGACGGGGUUUCACCAUGUUGCCCAGGCUGGCUUUGGACUCCUGGGCUCAAGUGAUCAGCCCGACAC